RNAcentral lists this transfer RNA (75 nucleotides) under Candidatus Geothermarchaeota archaeon. RNAcentral describes it as "tRNA-Val". It matches the Rfam family "tRNA". Rfam says of the family: Transfer RNA (tRNA) molecules are approximately 80 nucleotides in length. Their secondary structure includes four short double-helical elements and three loops (D, anti-codon, and T loops). Further hydrogen bonds mediate the characteristic L-shaped molecular structure. tRNAs have two regions of fundamental functional importance: the anti-codon, which is responsible for specific mRNA codon recognition, and the 3' end, to which the tRNAs corresponding amino acid is attached (by aminoacyl-tRNA synthetases). tRNAs cope with the degeneracy of the genetic code in two manners: having more than one tRNA (with a specific anti-codon) for a particular amino acid; and 'wobble' base-pairing, i.e. permitting non-standard base-pairing at the 3rd anti-codon position. Lineage: Archaea; Thermoproteati; Candidatus Geothermarchaeota. The record is from RNAcentral.
GCCGCCGUAGCUCAGCGGUAGAGGGGUUAACUUACCAGCCACAGGUCCGGGGUUCGAAUCCCCGCGGCGGCUCCA